UGAGGCAGGAGAAUUGCUUGAACCCAGGAGGUGGAGGUUGCAGUGAGCCGAGAUCGCGCCACUGCACUCCAGCCUGGUGACAGAGCAAGACUCCAUCUCA
This 100-nucleotide microRNA precursor is filed under the name Colobus angolensis palliatus. RNAcentral's name for it is "miRNA (ENSCANG00000002628.1)". Lineage: Eukaryota; Metazoa; Chordata; Mammalia; Primates; Cercopithecidae. The record is from RNAcentral.